RNAcentral lists this ribosomal RNA (254 nucleotides) under uncultured bacterium. Its description in RNAcentral is "partial 16S ribosomal RNA". It matches the Rfam family "Bacterial small subunit ribosomal RNA", at positions 524 to 776 of the family's 1533-position model. The record is from RNAcentral.
UACGUAGGGUGCGGAGCGUUGUCCGGAAUUACUGGGCGUAAAGAGCUCGUAGGUGGUUUGUCGCGUUGUCCGUGAAAACUCACAACUCAAUUGUGGGCGUGCGGGCGAUACGGGCAGACUGGAGUACUGCAGGGGAGACUGGAAUUCCUGGUGUAGCGGUGAAAUGCGCAGAUAUCAGGAAGAACACCCGUGGCGAAAGCGGCUCUCUGGAACGGUACUGACGCUGAGACGCGAAAGCGUGGGGAGCGAACAGG